ACCCGCUGAACUUAAGCAUAUCAAUAAGCGGAGGAAAAGAAACCAACAGGGAUUGCCCUAGUAACGGCGAGUGAAGCGGCAACAGCUCAAAUUUGAAAUCUGGCCCUAGUGGUCCGAAUUGUAAUUUGUAGAGGAUGCUUUGGGCGCGGUGCCUUCCGAGUUCCUUGGAACAGGACGCCUUAGAGGGUGAGAGCCCCGUACGGUUGGACACCAAGCCUAUGUAAAGCUCCUUCGACGAGUCGAGUAGUUUGGGAAUGCUGCUCUAAAUGGGAGGUAAAUUUCUUCUAAAGCUAAAUACCGGCCAGAGACCGAUAGCGCACAAGUAGAGUGAUCGAAAGAUGAAAAGUACUUUGAAAAGAGGGUUAAAUAGCACGUGAAAUUGUUGAAAGGGAAGCAUUUAUGACCAGACCUUUGCUAGGUGGAUCAUCCGGUGUUCUUCACCGGUGCACUUCGCCUAGCUUAGGCCAGCAUCGAUUUCUGUAGGGGGAUAAAGGUCUAGGGAACGUAGCUCUCUUCGGAGAGUGUUAUAGCCCUGGGCGUAAUACCCUUACGGGGAUCGAGGUUCGCGCUUCGGCAAGGAUGCUGGUUGGCUCAUGACCCGUCUUGAAACACGGACC
RNAcentral lists this ribosomal RNA (617 nucleotides) under Eutypella sp. 1 DACA-2015. Its description in RNAcentral is "eukaryotic LSU rRNA". It matches the Rfam family "Eukaryotic large subunit ribosomal RNA", at positions 23 to 667 of the family's 3401-position model. Lineage: Eukaryota; Fungi; Ascomycota; Sordariomycetes; Xylariales; Diatrypaceae. The record is from RNAcentral.